RNAcentral lists this unclassified non-coding RNA (251 nucleotides) under Hevea brasiliensis (rubber tree). Lineage: Eukaryota; Viridiplantae; Streptophyta; Magnoliopsida; Malpighiales; Euphorbiaceae. The record is from RNAcentral.
GCUUCAGUGGAUGAGCUAUAUGCUUCGAAUUAACCAGCAAGUUAGCUGCUCCAUGCUCCCCAACCCAUGGCGAUGACGAGUGAAGUGUGCUCUAAGACCAUUGACCGCGCAAGGAAUAGUAUUAAUAAAAAGCUUAUAGGUCAAUCAUCCCAUGUAUCCUCUAAUUAGUGCAUUUUCAAAGUGCCUAAUGAACUACGAAGCGUUAAUGAAAAGGCAUAUGAACCGCGGAUAAUUGCAAUUGGUCCUUAUCA